AUUGAACGCUGGCGGCAGGCUUAACACAUGCAAGUCGAGCGGAGAUGAGGUGCUUGCACCUUAUCUUAGCGGCGGACGGGUGAGUAAUGCUUAGGAAUCUGCCUAUUAGUGGGGGACAACAUUCCGAAAGGAAUGCUAAUACCGCAUACGUCCUACGGGAGAAAGCAGGGGAUCUUCGGACCUUGCGCUAAUAGAUGAGCCUAAGUCGGAUUAGCUAGUUGGUGGGGUAAAGGCCUACCAAGGCGACGAUCUGUAGAGGGUCUGAGAGGAUGAUCCGCCACACUGGGACUGAGACACGGCCCAGACUCCUACGUGAGGCAGCAGUGGGGAAUAUUGGACAAUGGGGGAAACCCUGAUCCAGCCAUGCCGCGUGUGUGAAGAAGGCCUUAUGGUUGUAAAGCACUUUAAGCGAGGAGGAGGCUACUGAGACUAAUACUCUUGGAUAGUGGACGUUACUCGCAGAAUAAGCACCGGCUAACUCUGUGCCAGCCGCCGCAGUAA
This 501-nucleotide ribosomal RNA is filed under the name uncultured bacterium. Its description in RNAcentral is "partial 16S ribosomal RNA". It matches the Rfam family "Bacterial small subunit ribosomal RNA", at positions 30 to 523 of the family's 1533-position model. The record is from RNAcentral.